Molecule: non-coding RNA, 852 nt
Organism: Pezoporus occidentalis (night parrot)
Lineage: Eukaryota; Metazoa; Chordata; Aves; Psittaciformes; Psittacidae
Source: the annotation of a RefSeq genome assembly
UCAGCUUCCUCUUCCUCUGGGAGGCAGACGCUGAUGAGAGCCCUCAGGAUGCUGCUGCUCCCACUCCUGGCCCUGGCUGCAGCCUGGUCUCAUGGGCAAGCACAAGUGUUUCUGAGGCAGAGACAAGCAUCCAUUACCAGAGAGCCAACUAAAACUGCACAGAUUGAGUGUGUAUUUGAGGGCAUGUCAGGGGCUGACUUCCAGACUCUCUAUGUACAUUGGUACCGGCAUCUACCCUCCAGACCUCCCGAAUGGAUUCUGCUUAUCCAAACAGGUCAAAUUCAUUAUGAGAAUGAUUCCUAUAAGAACAAGUAUUCCUCUUCGAAAAAAAGCCCAAACAUCUGCACUUUCACCAUCAAUUACAUCAACCCCAACGAUGAAGGCACCUACUACUGUGCCUACUGGCAGGACCACAGAACUAGCAAACCUCAGGUAGCCUGUACACAAAGCUGUACCCCAAGUGGCAGGCUGUCAAGUGCAGAGAGCCACACCUGCACCUUCCUGCCUCUAAAGCAUCCCAACAGGUUUAUGCUGAGUGUGUAAGUACAAGUAAAGGACAAAGAGAAAAGCAAAGAAAUGCAGCGUGCUACAGCUCAGCUGGCAUCAUGUUCUGUGCUGGGGAAAAGGAGCUCUCCUUAGGGUGAUGGUACUACAGCUGAAUUGUACAGUAACACAAAUCAACUUUGCAUAAUACAGAUACUUCCCUGAGGUACCAAAAAUGUUACCAAAGCAGGCAGAGUAUUCUAGGAAAGGCUUCUGGGACAGCUUUAGAGUAUUCAAGGGGAGAAGAACAUCCUUGGGAAGAGCUGGGCUGAACAAUUUGAGUUUUUAUGUGUGUGCUCAGCAGGUAAG